CUGCCCAUAGCUCAGUUGGAUAGAGCAGCGGUCUUCUAAACCGCAGGUCGGGGGUUCGAUUCCCUCUGGGCAGACCA
RNAcentral lists this transfer RNA (77 nucleotides) under Alcaligenaceae bacterium SJ-26. RNAcentral describes it as "tRNA-Arg". It matches the Rfam family "tRNA". From Rfam's summary of the family: Transfer RNA (tRNA) molecules are approximately 80 nucleotides in length. Lineage: Bacteria; Pseudomonadati; Pseudomonadota; Betaproteobacteria; Burkholderiales; Alcaligenaceae. The record is from RNAcentral.